GACGAACGCUGGCGGCGUGCUUCAUACAUGCAAGUCGAACGAGAAGCUGACUUCGGUCAGUGGAAAGUGGCGGACGGGUGAGUAAUAUGUAGGAAAUCUGCCUUUAGGAGGGGGACAACAGAGGGAAACUUCUGCUAAUACCCCAUAUGAGCGUAGCUGAAAUGCUAUUCUUGAAAACUCCGGUGCCUAAAGAUGAGCCUGCAUCUGAUUAGCUAGUUGGUAGUGUAAUGGACUACCAAGGCGACGAUCAGUAGCUGGUUUGAGAGGAUGAUCAGCCACAAUGGGACUGAGACACGGCCCAUACUCCUACGGGAGGCAGCAGUAGGGAAUUUUGCGCAAUGGGCGAAAGCCCGACGCAGCAACGCCGCGUGAACGAUUAAGCCCUUCGGGGUGUAAAGUUCUGUCAGUGGGGACGAAACUUGACGGUACCCACAGAGGAAGCACCGGCUAACUCCGUG
RNAcentral lists this ribosomal RNA (458 nucleotides) under uncultured bacterium. Its description in RNAcentral is "partial 16S ribosomal RNA". It matches the Rfam family "Bacterial small subunit ribosomal RNA", at positions 28 to 507 of the family's 1533-position model. The record is from RNAcentral.